CAUUAGAUACAGAACCAAUCCCUUCGGGGUUUUUGGAUGAUUCAUAAUGAAGGAACGGAGCGUACGACUUGUGUCGACGCUGUUUCAUUCAAGUUUCUGACCUAUCAGCUUCCGACGGUAGGGUAUUGGCCUACCGUGGCAUUGACGGGUAACGGAGAAUUAGGGUUCGAUUCCGGAGAGGGAGCCUUAAAAACGGCUACCACAUCUAAGGAAGGCAGCAGGCGCGCAAAUUACCCAAUCCUGAUACAGGGAGGUAGUGACAAGAAAUAACACAGAGAGCGCUUAUUGCGUUUCUCUUUGGAAUGAGUAGAAUUUAAAUCUCUUUUCGACUAUCAAUUGGAGGGCAAGUCUGGUGCCAGCAGCCGCGGUAAUUCCAGCUCCAAUAGCGUAUAUUAAAGUUGUUGCGGUUAAAAAGCUCGUAGUUGGAUUUCUGUCGAGAACGCGCGGUCCACGCUUUGCGUGAGCAUCUGUGUCGGUCUUGGCAUCCUCUAGUGGAUCGUUUCUGCGCUUGAUUGCUUGGAGCGGAACG
This 529-nucleotide ribosomal RNA is filed under the name uncultured Syndiniales. RNAcentral's name for it is "SSU rRNA". It matches the Rfam family "Eukaryotic small subunit ribosomal RNA", at positions 208 to 740 of the family's 1831-position model. The record is from RNAcentral. Lineage: Eukaryota; Dinophyceae; Syndiniales.